This 429-nucleotide ribosomal RNA is filed under the name Actinomycetes bacterium. RNAcentral's name for it is "Actinobacteria bacterium partial 16S ribosomal RNA". It matches the Rfam family "Bacterial small subunit ribosomal RNA", at positions 355 to 776 of the family's 1533-position model. Lineage: Bacteria; Bacillati; Actinomycetota; Actinomycetes. The record is from RNAcentral.
UAGGGAAUCUUCCGCAAUGGGCGAAAGCCUGACGGAGCAACGCCGCGUGAGUGAUGAAGGUCUUCGGAUCGUAAAACUCUGUUAUUAGGGAAGAACAAAUGUGUAAGUAACUAUGCACGUCUUGACGGUACCUAAUCAGAAAGCCACGGCUAACUACGUGCCAGCAGCCGCGGUAAUACGUAGGUGGCAAGCGUUAUCCGGAAUUAUUGGGCGUAAAGUGCGCGUAGGCGGUUUUUUAAGUCUGAUGUGAAAGCCCACGGCUCAACCGUGGAGGGUCAUUGGAAACUGGAAAACUGGGGUGCAGAAGAGGAAAGUGGAAUUCCAUGUGUAGCGGUGAAAUGCGCAGAGAUAUGGGGGAACACCAGUGGCGAAGGCGACUUUCUGGUCUGUAACUGACGCUGAUGUGCGAAAGCGUGGGGAUCAAACAGG